AAGCGGUGGAGCAUGUGGCUUAAUUCGAGGCUACGCGAAGAACCUUAUCCCGGGCUUGACAUGCACGGAUUAGCCGGCGGAAACGUCGGCGACGCCGCAAGGUGGAACGUGCACAGGUGCUGCAUGGCUGUCGUCAGCUCGUGCCGUGAGGUGUUGGGUUAAGUCCCGUAACGAGCGAAACCCCUGUGAUUAGUUGCCAGCAUUCAGUUGGGCACUCUAAUCAGACCGCCGGCGUCAAGCCGGAGGAAGGCGGGGACG
This 258-nucleotide ribosomal RNA is filed under the name uncultured Planctomycetota bacterium. RNAcentral's name for it is "uncultured planctomycete partial 16S ribosomal RNA". It matches the Rfam family "Bacterial small subunit ribosomal RNA", at positions 927 to 1181 of the family's 1533-position model. Lineage: Bacteria; Pseudomonadati; Planctomycetota. The record is from RNAcentral.